CAGUAGCCACGGGAACACCGAGGAUGCAAGCGUUAUCCGGAAUGAUUGGGCGUAAAGCGUCUGUAGGUGGCUUUUCAAGUCCGCCGUCAAAUCCCAGGGCUCAACCCUGGACAGGCGGUGGAAACUACCAAGCUGGAGUACGGUGGGGGCAGAGGGAAUUUCCGGUGGAGCGGUGAGAUGCGUUGAGAUUGGAAAGAACACCAACGGCGAAAGCACUCUGCUGGGCCGACACUGACACUGAGAGACGAAAGCUAGGGGAGCAAAUGGGAUUAGAGACCCCUGUAGUCCCUGUCUCUUAUAC
RNAcentral lists this ribosomal RNA (301 nucleotides) under uncultured bacterium. Its description in RNAcentral is "partial 16S ribosomal RNA". It matches the Rfam family "Bacterial small subunit ribosomal RNA", at positions 509 to 807 of the family's 1533-position model. The record is from RNAcentral.